GACGAACGCUGGCGGCGUGCUUAACACAUGCAAGUCGAACGAUGAAAUAGGAGCUUUCUCCUCUGGAUUAGUGGCGCACGGGUGAGUAACACGUGAGCAAUCUGCACCUGACUCCGGAAUAACUACGGGAAACUGUAGCUAAUAUCGGAUAUGCGCCGAACAGGCAUCUGUAUCGGUGGGAAAGAAUUUCGGUCAGGGAUGGGCUCGCGGCCUACCAGCUUGUUGGUGAGGUAACGGAUCACCAAGGCGACGACGGGUAGCCGGCCUGAGAGGGUGACCGGCCACAUUGGGCCUGAGACACGGCCCAGACGCCUACGGGAGGCAGAAGUGGGGAAUAUUGCACAAUGGGCGCAAGCCUGAUGCAGCAACGCCGCGUGAGGGAUGACGGCCUUCGGGUGAUAAACCUCUUUUAACAGGGAAAAAGCGAAAGUGACGGUACCUGAAGAAAAAGCGCCGGCUAACUACGUG
RNAcentral lists this ribosomal RNA (468 nucleotides) under uncultured bacterium. RNAcentral describes it as "partial 16S ribosomal RNA". It matches the Rfam family "Bacterial small subunit ribosomal RNA", at positions 28 to 507 of the family's 1533-position model. The record is from RNAcentral.